UUUGUUCCGCGUUUCCGAGCAAAAAUAUCUAAGGACGACGGAUAUGCCGCCUGUAGCCUAUGAUAUUGCGUCUGCACUGCGGAGACGAAAUCUCCGAGAUGUGCACCGGGUUCAUGCAGAAAUGUCUGGGCCUUCCCGUAUUGAAAAGGAAGCGGCAGAAUUGCUAC
RNAcentral lists this non-coding RNA (167 nucleotides) under Centipeda noxia. RNAcentral's name for it is "Selenomonas noxia MoCo sequence". It matches the Rfam family "Molybdenum/Tungsten riboswitch aptamer (Moco RNA motif)". Lineage: Bacteria; Bacillati; Bacillota; Negativicutes; Selenomonadales; Selenomonadaceae. The record is from RNAcentral.